RNAcentral lists this ribosomal RNA (580 nucleotides) under uncultured bacterium. Its description in RNAcentral is "bacterial SSU rRNA". It matches the Rfam family "Bacterial small subunit ribosomal RNA", at positions 64 to 657 of the family's 1533-position model. The record is from RNAcentral.
GAGGGGCAGCAUUCUUAGCUUGCUAAGGCGAUGGCGACCGGCGCACGGGUGAGUAACACGUAUCCACCUGCCGUCUACUCUUGGCCAGCCUUCUGAAAGGAAGAUUAAUCCAGGAUGGCUUCACAUGUCUAAAGGUAUUCGGUAGACGAUGGGGAUGCGUUCCAUUAGAUAGUAGGCGGGGUAACGGCCCACCUAGUCAACGAUGGAUAGGGGUUCUGAGAGGAAGGUCCCCCACAUUGGAACUGAGACACGGUCCAAACUCUACGGGAGGCAGCAGUGAGGAAUAUUGGUCAAUGGGCGAUGGCCUGAACCAGCCAAGUAGCGUGAAGGAUGACUGCCUAUGGGUUGUAAACUUCUUUUAUAAAGGAAUAAGUCGGGUAUGCAUACCCGUUUGCAUGUACUUUAUGAAUAAGGAUCGGCUAACUCCGUGCCAGCAGCCGCGGUAAUACGGAGGAUCCGAGCGUUAUCCGGAUUUAUUGGGUUUAAAGGGAGCGUAGAUGGAUGUUUAAGUCAGUUGUGAAAGUUUGCGGCCCAACCGUAAAAUUGCAGUUGAUACUGGAUGUCUUGAGUGCAGUUGAGG